AUUGUUUGCACAUCUUAAACAAAAAAACAAAACCUUAUUGUUGGAAAUAAUCUGCAUUGUUUAUAGAAAAUGACAAACUAUUUUAAACUGUUUAAUUUUAUAUAAAGCAACUUUAGUGACGUAAUUAUAUUUAAUUCCCCCUCCAGUUCUAAUCUGGCAGAGAACUUAGCAAAGAAGCUCUUGAGACCACAGAUGUAUUAUGUAUAGUCAGAUGUGGUCAGUUAGCGACAGUUGGUGGCUAGAUGAAGGAGAUCGGUGGCUGGCGGAAACAACUACAUUGGGAGAAAAAUUUGGAAAAAGUACCAGUGUUACAACGGGCGCCUCACUUAAGAGCACUUUCACACUUUGAAAUGCACGUUCACAGUCAGAGGACCACCGAAAUGGUACGGAAGGGCUGAGCAGUCUAGUAAGAGGCUCAACAACAGUGGACAAGUUUCUACAAAACCCCCUAUAGUACCCAGCCAUGCCUAGAAACUGGCGCAGUUCACGUCGUGUGGCUGGAGUAGGGAAGUCUGGGAGAGUUAAUGACACUUAUACAGAGGAUUUGUUAGCAGUGAAAAGAUAAUAACAAGAAAGGAACAGAGCAUAAAGAAAACUAAACCCUGAGGCCUAGAAGAAAACAAUGGUAGGCUAGGCUAUGCUAGGCUAAGCUAUGCUAAUAGCAACAUAGGAACAAAGAAAACAAAGGAGAAGGGAGGCUAACAGCAAGGUUAGUGUAAUGUUAAUGCUAAUGGCUUAUGCUGAUGGUUGCUAAUGGAUAUUCCGAUGGAUAAUGCGAAUGGCUAAUGCUAAUAAAAAAAAAAAAA
Molecule: long non-coding RNA, 806 nt
Organism: Colossoma macropomum (tambaqui)
Lineage: Eukaryota; Metazoa; Chordata; Actinopteri; Characiformes; Serrasalmidae
Exons: 2
Source: RefSeq, a predicted model, not a curated record